UCAACGCUGGCGGCGUGCCUAACACAUGCAAGUCGAACGUGAAAGGGGCUUCGGCCCUGGGUAAAGUGGCAAACGGGUGAGUAACGCGUGGGUGAUCUGCCUCUGAGUGGGGGAUAACGUUCCGAAAGGGACGCUAAUACCGCAUGACAUCCUGUUCUUGGAUGAAUGGUGAUCGAAGCUGGGGACCGCAAGGCCUGGCGCUUGGAGAGGAGCCCGCGUCCGAUUAGCUAGUUGGUGGGGUAACGGCCUACCAAGGCGACGAUCGGUAGCCGGCCUGAGAGGGCGGACGGCCACACUGGGACUGAGACACGGCCCAGACUCCUACGGGAGGCAGCAGUGGGGAAUUGUUCGCAAUGGGCGCAAGCCUGACGACGCAACGCCGCGUGGGGGAUGAAGGUCUUCGGAUUGUAAACCCCUGUUGGGUGGGACGAACACUUCCGUGGUGAAUAGCCAUGGAGACUGACGGUACCACCUGAGGAAGCCCCGGCUAACUCUGUGCCAGCAG
This 505-nucleotide ribosomal RNA is filed under the name uncultured bacterium. RNAcentral's name for it is "bacterial SSU rRNA". It matches the Rfam family "Bacterial small subunit ribosomal RNA", at positions 32 to 514 of the family's 1533-position model. The record is from RNAcentral.